CACUCCUACGGGAGGCAGCAGUGGGGAAUCUUGCGCAAUGGGCGAAAGCCUGACGCAGCCAUGCCGCGUGAAUGAUGAAGGUCUUAGGAUUGUAAAAUUCUUUCACCGGGGACGAUAAUGACGGUACCCGGAGAAGAAGCCCCGGCUAACUUCGUGCCAGCAGCCGCGGUAAUACGAAGGGGGCUAGCGUUGCUCGGAAUUACUGGGCGUAAAGGGAGCGUAGGCGGACAUUUAAGUCAGGGGUGAAAUCCCGGGGCUCAACCUCGGAAUUGCCUUUGAUACUGGGUGUCUUGAGUAUGAGAGAGGUGUGUGGAACUCCGAGUGUAGAGGUGAAAUUCGUAGAUAUUCGGAAGAACACCAGUGGCGAAGGCGACACACUGGCUCAUUACUGACGCUGAGGCUCGAAAGCGUGGGGAGCAAACAGGAUUAGAAACCCUAGUAGUCCCAUG
This 449-nucleotide ribosomal RNA is filed under the name uncultured organism. RNAcentral describes it as "partial 16S ribosomal RNA". It matches the Rfam family "Bacterial small subunit ribosomal RNA", at positions 334 to 799 of the family's 1533-position model. The record is from RNAcentral.